Molecule: ribosomal RNA, 253 nt
Filed under: uncultured bacterium
Lineage: Bacteria
Description: partial 16S ribosomal RNA
Rfam family: Bacterial small subunit ribosomal RNA
Source: RNAcentral
UACGCAGGGUGCGAGCGUUAAUCGGAAUUACUGGGCGUAAAGCGUGCGCAGGCGGUUUUGUAAGCCAGAUGUGAAAGCCCCGGGCUCAACCUGGGAAUGGCAUUUGGGACUGCAAGGCUUGAGUGCGGCAGAGGAGACUGGAAUUCCUGGUGUAGCAGUGAAAUGCGUAGAUAUCAGGAGGAAUACCGAUGGCGAAGGCAGGUCUCUGGGCUGACACUGACGCUCAUGCACGAAAGCGUGGGGAGCAAACAGG